ACCAAUGAUUCAAGAUAUUUAUGAGAGAGUCAAUUUAUAUCCUAAUUAAUUUCAAAUUAGAUCUGAUUUAAUUAAGACUUAAUUGGGUUAAAAAUUUAAAUUAGACUUGGACCAAAAUUCUAAUUAGAUUGGGAUUGACAGGCUCUUCGAUUUUGGUUCAAAUCCAAUUCGAAUCAGGUUCGAAUUGAGCUAAAUUUGGACUUAAAGGAGAGGGCUUAAAGUUUGAAUUGAGUCCCACAUAGUAGGGACUCUCUCCGUGGCCGACCAAAAGAGAAAAGAGCAUUGGUUUUUUCCGCUCCCACUUUUGUU
RNAcentral lists this long non-coding RNA (309 nucleotides) under Elaeis guineensis (African oil palm). RNAcentral describes it as "long non-coding RNA (EGUI_LNC041860)". Lineage: Eukaryota; Viridiplantae; Streptophyta; Magnoliopsida; Arecales; Arecaceae. The record is from RNAcentral.